This 1068-nucleotide ribosomal RNA is filed under the name Lachnospiraceae bacterium YSD2013. RNAcentral describes it as "Bacterial large subunit ribosomal RNA". It matches the Rfam family "Bacterial large subunit ribosomal RNA", at positions 405 to 1482 of the family's 2925-position model. The record is from Rfam by way of RNAcentral. Lineage: Bacteria; Bacillati; Bacillota; Clostridia; Lachnospirales; Lachnospiraceae.
AUCCAGAGUACCACGAGACACGAGAAACCUUGUGGGAACGCGCGGGGACCACCCCGUAAGGCUAAAUACUCCUUAGUGACCGAUAGCGCAUAGUACUGUGAAGGAAAGGUGAAAAGGACCCCGGGAGGGGAGUGAAAGAGAACCUGAAACCCUGUGUUUACAAGCUGUGGAACUACAAUCGAAUGUAGAACCGCGUACUUUUUGUAGAACGGUCCGGCGAGUUACGGAUACAGGCGAGGUUAAGUAGUUAAGCUACGGAGCCGAAGUGAAAGCAAGCGUUAAAAGCGCGUAAAGUCAGUAUACGUAGACCCGAAACCGGGUGAUCUACCCAUGACCAGGAUGAAGCCGCUGUAAAAGGUGGUGGAGGUCCGAAGCCACAUCCGUUGAAAAGGGUGGGCAUGAGUUGUGGGUAGGGGAGAAAUUCCAAUCGAACCCGGAGAUAGCUGGUUCUCCUCGAAAUAGCUUUAGGGCUAGCCUCGUAUUAGUCUCAUGGAGGUAGAGCACUGAAUUUCCUAGGGGUCGUCAAAGACUACCGAAGAAUAUCAAACUCCGAAUGCCAUAGAGAUGAUGUACGGGAGUCAGACUGCACGAGAUAAGUUGGGUAGUCAAAAGGGAAAGAGCCCAGACCUACAGCUAAGGUCCCAAAGUACGUGUUAAGUGGAAAAGGAUGUGGGAUUUCAAAGACAACUAGGAUGUUGGCUCAGAAGCAGCCACACAUUCAAAGAGUGCGUAAUAGCUCACUAGUCGAGAGGUCCUGCGCCGAAAAUUUCCGGGGCUAAAACACGACACCGAAGCUUAGGAAUCGUUUUAAACGAUUGGUAGAGGAGCAUUGUUAAUGCAGCGAAGCUGUACCGAAAGGAGCAGUGGAGUAUUAAGAAGAGAGAAUGCCGGAAUGAGUAGCGAGAGGAAGGUGAGAAUCCUUCCGGCCGAAUAUCCAAGGUUUCCAGAGUAAAGCUGAUCUGCUCUGGGUAAGUCGGGACCUAAGGCGAGGGAGAAAUCCGUAGUCGAUGGACAACAGGUUGAGAUUCCUGUACUGCCAUAUAUCAGAAAUGUGGGGACGCAUGUGGA